This 484-nucleotide ribosomal RNA is filed under the name uncultured bacterium. RNAcentral's name for it is "partial 16S ribosomal RNA". It matches the Rfam family "Bacterial small subunit ribosomal RNA", at positions 30 to 507 of the family's 1533-position model. The record is from RNAcentral.
AUUGAACGCUGGCGGCAGGCCUAACACAUGCAAGUCGAGCGGAUGAAGGGAGCUUGCUCCUGGAUUCAUCGGCGGACGGGUGAGUAAUGCCUAUGAAUCUGCCUGUUAGUGGGGGAUAACGUCCGGAAACGGGCGCUAAUACCGCAUACGUCCUGAGGGAGAAAGUGGGGGAUCUUCGCACCUCACGCUAUCAGCUUAGCCUAGGUCGGAUUAGCUAGUUGGUGGGGUAAAGGCCUACCAAGGCGACGAUCCGUAACUGGUCUGAGAGGAUGAUCAGUCACACUGGAACUGAGACACGGUCCAGACUCCUACGGGAGGCAGCAGUGGGGAAUAUUGGACAAUGGGCGAAAGCCUGAUCCAGCCAUGCCGCGUGUGUGAAGAAGGUCUUCGGAUUGUAAAGCACUUUAAGUGGGGAGGAAGGGAAGUAAGUUAAUACCUUGCUGUAUUGACGUUACCAACAGAAUAAGCACCGGCUAACUUCGUG